RNAcentral lists this ribosomal RNA (497 nucleotides) under uncultured bacterium. Its description in RNAcentral is "partial 16S ribosomal RNA". It matches the Rfam family "Bacterial small subunit ribosomal RNA", at positions 28 to 507 of the family's 1533-position model. The record is from RNAcentral.
GACGAACGCUGGCGGCGUGCCUAAUACAUGCAAGUUAAGCGCUGAAGGUUGGUACUUGUACCGACUGGAUGAGCAGCGAACGGGUGAGUAACGCGUGGGGAAUCUGCCUUUGAGCGGGGGACAACAUUUGGAAACGAAUGCUAAUACCGCAUAAAAACUUUAAACACAAGUUUUAAGUUUGAAAGAUGCAAUUGCAUCACUCAAAGAUGAUCCCGCGUUGUAUUAGCUAGUUGGUGAGGUAAAGGCUCACCAAGGCGAUGAUACAUAGCCGACCUGAGAGGGUGAUCGGCCACAUUGGGACUGAGACACGGCCCAAACUCCUACGGGAGGCAGCAGUAGGGAAUCUUCGGCAAUGGACGAAAGUCUGACCGAGCAACGCCGCGUGAGUGAAGAAGGUUUUCGGAUCGUAAAACUCUGUUGGUAGAGAAGAACGUUGGUGAGAGUGGAAAGCUCAUCAAGUGACGGUAACUACCCAGAAAGGGACGGCUAACUACGUG